Molecule: non-coding RNA, 3894 nt
Organism: Chrysemys picta bellii (western painted turtle)
Lineage: Eukaryota; Metazoa; Chordata; Testudines; Emydidae
Source: RefSeq, a predicted model, not a curated record
UUAGCCUCUGAUCCUACCUCAUUUUCACUGACAUUCACUAUGUUAGACGUCCAAUCAUCACCAACCUUCUUGGUGAAAACAAACAUAAAAGUCUGGGUAAGGAUAAAAGGGGUAAGGAGGAAUAGUCUACACUUACUGUAGUUGUGCUUAGGGGAAUGAAGAAUUGCUGGUUCUGCUAGCGGUGAUUUCCUGCUGAAUGUGAAGAUCUGGUUUUGCUGACAGCUGCUAGUUGCCUCCUAGGGGGAGUGCUGAAGAGGCCUUGCUGUCUUAUCACUCAUUUGCUGAGAUAGGGUUGGGUUGUUUGGUUUUUUUUGCCAGGUUGGUCUUUCCUUAUCAUUGUGAAAUUCUGGCUUCAGUGAUCUAUUGGGAGGAGGAGAGGAAGGGAAAAAUCCUCUGCAGUAGAACAUCAGAGUUAAACACCUCGGGAAUGGAGAUUGUUCGUAACUCGGAAAUCUUUAUAACUCUGAACAAAACAUUAUGGUGGUUCUUUCAAAAAUUUAUAACUGAACAUUGGCUUAAUACAGCUUUGAAACUUUACUAUUGUAGCCAGGGGGCGUGGUUUCCCUCCCUGACAGACUGGGAGAGAGCUGCGACCGCCCUCUGGUGGGCAGAGCCAGGACACCCAUGACCACCCGCUAGAAGCAGAGGGGUGGGAAAGGAACAGGAAAUAUAAAAGACCGGCCCUCCAGCUCAGUUGAGGGAAAGCUGCCAGAGGAGCAGGACAUCUCCCCACCACUGCUGGAGCUCAGACCCAACGGAGGCCGCUACAGCGCCAGAGACCCGGAGCUGUUAGAGCUGCCACUAGCCAUUCACCCCUGCAAGACAAAUGACAACCCAGGAACCAAGGUACCCCCUGAAUGGGAGUGUAGGAGGGAGCCCAGGGAAGCCAAAUAGGGUUUGGCUGCGUUAUUGAUAGCAAGCCAGCCAGCGUGUUACUGGAUUCCACCCUGACCCAGUGGCAGAUCACUCCGCCACUGCUAGGGCCCACUGUUGUGGGCCUGCAUCCCCCUAGUCAUGCCCCCCUGCCCCUCCCCAAGGGGCCUGCCUUGGUCUGUCAUCCACCCGAGCUAGGAUGCCACACAGUUUUGCUAUCUGCCCCACCAGAGAGCUGAUCUCCCUAGACUGCUGUGCUGCUCUGCCUGACUGCAAGCCAGAGCCAUUGACUGUUGGCUGCCCCACCCUGGCUUAGGGCCAGGGCUCACAGACUCAAUUGCUGCUGGCCUGGACAGCAGGCUUGGGCCUACUAACUGUUGGCUAAUUCCCCCCUGAACUGAGUUGCUCCAGAGGCAUUGUAGAGAGGGGGCGUGGUCUCCUUUCCUGACUGAUGGAGAGAGCUGCAACUGCCUUACAACUAUGCAGAAGAAAAUGCUGCUUUCCCUUUAUUUUUUAGCAGUUUAUAUUUAACACUGUACUGUAUCUGCUUUUUUUGGCUCUCUGCUGCUGCCUGAUUGUGUACUUCUGGUUCCAAAUGAAGUGUGUGGGCGACUGGUCAGUUCGAAACUCUGGUGCUCAUAACCCUGAGGUUCUACUGUACAUAAAUGUUGUUGCUAGCUUGAUUUGAGAUGGGGAAGGCAAUCAGAUAUGAAUAUUUGGCUGCAUUACACAAACAUACUUUAUAUUCUUUCUUCCCUUUUGUGUAAUGACACAGGAUCGCCGUUCCAUUGCUGCCUGCCUGCCCCUUUUGCUGUCUUUGACCAUCCCAACUGAAAAUAGUAUUAGCUGAAGUACAACAGUUUUCUGCAACAGUACAACUUUUAGACUAGUUUUUGGAAAUACUCUGUUGAAUUAAGAGCCAUAGUUUCUGGGCCUUGCACAAUGUAAUGCAAGCACUUAAGCGUCUACGAAAAAUAAGACCAAAUAUAAGCUAAAUCAGUGGUGAAGGCCCUGUGGCUCAACAUUCAAAGGUGGCUGAUUGAGUCAUAGUGGUCAGGCCCCAGCUCUUUCCUCAGUGUCCCUGAGUAAAGAAAGCUGGCACACUUUUUUGUUUGCUUGUUUGUGGUUACUCUAACAAAAAUAUUUAUCUACCUGGCAAGAUCGAUCUAAAAAUAAAAUUUGUAUAAACACAGUGUAUGAAUGUCAGAGCUUGUCAAAGGUGUUAGACUGAUAAUGCUAGAGCCCUUUAUUUAUCUACAGAUCUGGUCCAGCACAGCCAGUGGCAAUGAAAGUUCCUCUAUAUUCCUUCAUAGAAGGAUCUUCUGUAUGGGAUAAAGUAUAGUGCAGUCCCUUUAUCAUCUUUCAUCACAGAGCUACCGUCCUUUGGGGAAUGAUGCCUAAGCUUGCUUCAACAACAGCGAGAAUUGAUUGUGUGUUCCUGUAUUUCAGAUUGCUACAGCUUCCUGUUACAGGUAUUCUACUUUCCUAAAGAGGGCCUUCUGUGUAUAGUGAGAACUAGUCUGUUUUCAGAAGAAUCUUCACAAAAUGAAGAGGGGCAGGAGCAGUGGCUAGUGGCAUUCUGCAGCUAGGCCAAGAAUGUUUGGCAAAAAGAGUGAGUAGCCACAAGAAACUGACAUAGGCCUUAAAGGACCAGGACCAGGCACAGCUUUUUCAGUAUUGGGCGUCUACAAUAAGGCAGGUGAUUGCAGCUCAAAAUACUAGGACUUAUUUGUCGGAUUCCAAGAUGACCAAGUAAUCAGAUGGUAAGAAUUUACCUAGACAGAAUAAAGGAGGGGCUUUUCAGAAUUGGAGCCAAAGAGGAGGUGGGCUCUAGAGAAUGGUGAAUUUGAAGGAAGAUUUCUCAUUCACGGUUCCAGGAUGAAGAAAAUAAUUGCGGACAAUGAGAGAACUGAUAAAGGGUUGCAAAGGGAGGCUGUAGGCAAGUAUAUUGUGCCAAUACAGAUGCCUUUUGAUCAAAUACAGAGCAGCAGAUGCAUCAGUCAUGUCAAAGUGUGCUGCUUUUUGUUUGGUUUCUUUUACAGCAUCAUUGAUGACAACAGUUAGCAGAGAAGACGCGUGAUCUUCUUCAGUUCUGCGCACUAUUCAGUCUGUCAAAGCAUGUGACCUCCAGAAGAAGAAAGAGGAGCGUGCAUGUACCAGCAAUGCAGACACAGGACAGAGGACCCAAAACUGAAGAGUGAUCUCUAGGAAGCGGUCAUCCCCAAGUACUGUUGGGAGAGGAGGAGCUCCAAGGACAAGUAGUUCUACUGGUGAUGCAGAAGAGGUGCCUGGGUCAUUUGCCUCCAAACUCAUGAGCUUCCUCCUGCCCACAUUGACCCUUGACUACAGAAUGAUGGGGCAACAUUUCCAGCUAAACAGUCCUCUAGAGUCUGAUCAUGCAGAAUAAGAACAGCACAAUGGAACCGGAGACCUCUCGUCUGGGUCACUUCCCACUUCCAACCAACAGAAACAUCUGGCAGCUUCUGCCCCUGCUUGCAGACAACUUCCCAACUUUGCUUUCUGAAUUUCAUGGAUCACAGGAUGAGGGAUCUUAGACACAGGAUCCAGUACAGAUUCCCAUACUAAUUCUGAAAGGUGAACCAAAAUGCACACUGGUUGCUCUAUGCCCUCCUAUGCUGUUGCAUAUGCUGCAAGGAGUAUAUAUUAUAUACAAAAAAUAAGUUAAAAUGGAAAACUGCAACCUGCUGAUCACUGAUACAGCUGCCCUCACGAUUUCAGAAAGAAACAAACUUUCUUCAAACGAACUUUACUUAGGAAGUUGAGACCAUUUAAAUAAUAGAUAUUGCAUUUCUCUUAUUUCUUAAUUUGGGGCCACAGAUGAGAACCUUUUUUGGUAUUUUCCGUUUGUGUCUUAUCUAAGGGUGAAAGUAAGUCCAGUGACUUACCAGUACGCUGGGGCCAGCUCUGGCCCCCGGAAGGGGCGGGGCCUAAGGCAGAAGGGGCGUGGUUGAGGGAGUCAGAGCCAGCCCCAGCCCACCCUGUAAGGUAAGUGCCCCCCCC